GAUGAAGAACGCAGCAAAAUGCGAUACUUGGUGUGAAUUGCAGAAUCCCGUGAACCAUCGAGUUUUUGAACGCAAGUUGCGCCCGAAGCCUUUUGGCCGAGGGCACGUCUGCCUGGGCGUCACGCAUCGCGUCGCCCCCCACAAUUCUCCGUAAAGGGAACAUGUGUUUUGGGGGCGGAUAUUGGUCUCCCGUGCUCAUGGCGUGGUUGGCCGAAAUAGGAGUCCUUUCGAUGGACGCACGAACUAGUGGUGGUCGUAAAAACCCUCGUCUUUUGUUUCGUGCUGUUGCUCGCAAGGUAAACUCUUUAAAAACCCCAAUGUGUCGUCUCUUGACGACGCUUCGACCGCGACCCCAGGUCAGGCGGGACUACCCGCUGAGUUUAAGCAUAUCAAUAAGCGGAGAA
This 404-nucleotide unclassified non-coding RNA is filed under the name soil metagenome. Its description in RNAcentral is "partial contains 5.8S ribosomal RNA, internal transcribed spacer 2, and large subunit ribosomal RNA". The stretch from base 1 to 122 matches the Rfam family "5.8S ribosomal RNA", at positions 35 to 154 of the family's 154-position model. The record is from RNAcentral.